RNAcentral lists this ribosomal RNA (280 nucleotides) under uncultured bacterium. RNAcentral describes it as "partial 16S ribosomal RNA". It matches the Rfam family "Bacterial small subunit ribosomal RNA", at positions 338 to 634 of the family's 1533-position model. The record is from RNAcentral.
CCUACGGGGGGCAGCAGCAAGGAAUUUUGGGCAAUGGGCGAAAGCCUGACCCAGCGACACCGCGUGAGGGAAUAAGGCCUUCGGGUUGUAAACCUCUUUUCCUGGGGAAGAAUUCUGACGGUACCCAGGGAAUAAGCCUCGGCCAACUACGUGCCAGCAGCCGCGGUAAUACGUAGGAGGCAAACGUUAUUCGGAUUUACUGGGCGUAAAGGGAGCGUAGGCGGUUCCUUAAGUCGGAUGUGAAAUCUUCUGACUCAAUCGGAAGGCGCCAUUUGAUACU